AAGACCACUUUAAUCCACAGACCUAAACCACAGCCCAUUAUUAUUAGGUCAAGAAGAAUAGUCAAAUUCAAAGUACAGUGAUGGGUAGUAGAUAUAGUUUCUAACUAAAAAUUUAAAAAAUCGUAAUUGGUAAAAUGAAAUCAACAGAGAAGCAUGCAAAAGCAGAAUAAAUAUUCUGAGUGAAGUCCAAGGUAAUAAUGAAAAGAGUAAAAUUAAUUG
Molecule: unclassified non-coding RNA, 219 nt
Filed under: Hevea brasiliensis (rubber tree)
Lineage: Eukaryota; Viridiplantae; Streptophyta; Magnoliopsida; Malpighiales; Euphorbiaceae
Source: RNAcentral